CGUAGGUGGCAAGCGUUGUCCGGAUUUAUUGGGUUUAAAGGGUGCGUAGGCGGCCCUGUAAGUCAGUGGUGAAAUGCUCUAGCUUAACUAGAGAGGUGCCAGUGAUACUGCAGGGCUUGAGUACAGAUGAGGUAGGCGGAAUUGACGGUGUAGCGGUGAAAUGCAUAGAUAUCGUCAAGAACACCUAUAGCGAAGGCAGCUUACUGGGCUGUAACUGACGCUGAGGCACGAAAGUGUGGGGAUCAAACAGGAUUAGAUACCCUGGUAGUCCACACUGUAAACGUUGAUUACUCGCUGUUUGCGAUACACAGCAAGCGGCUUAGCGAAAGCGAUAAGUAAUCCACCUGGGGAGUACGCCGGCAACGGUG
Molecule: ribosomal RNA, 368 nt
Filed under: uncultured organism
Description: bacterial SSU rRNA
Rfam family: Bacterial small subunit ribosomal RNA
Source: RNAcentral